Molecule: long non-coding RNA, 395 nt
Organism: Lolium rigidum
Lineage: Eukaryota; Viridiplantae; Streptophyta; Magnoliopsida; Poales; Poaceae
Exons: 2
Source: RefSeq, a predicted model, not a curated record
UCAAACAGUAAACACUAGCGACCAAGCCACAGAAUUCAGCAGCAGCUCCAUACAGCCUAUUGAUCCAGCAGCAAGUAACAGAAGAUCUAUACUGCCUGAUCCAUCUGAAAAUAUGCCAAAUCUGCCGGAAGAUGAAAGAACCCCACAAGACACAGCUGACUACGAAUGUCAUGGAGAUAGUCCAUUCUGAUUUAGCAGAGAUGAGGCAGACCCGACCAGCAAAGAUAAAUAAGUAUCUGCGCUGGUGAACUGAAACUUCGCUUCGGAACAACUGUCCUACUGAUUCCUGUGAGCAGAAAUAUCACGUGUAGUAAUAUUACCUUAUCUGGAACUACCUAGCAUGAACACUAUCGGCAUGAUGUAAUAUUAAGUAUCUAAAUAACUAUGUAUAAUCA